RNAcentral lists this long non-coding RNA (565 nucleotides) under Homo sapiens (human). RNAcentral's name for it is "GRAMD1A antisense RNA 1 (GRAMD1A-AS1)". Lineage: Eukaryota; Metazoa; Chordata; Mammalia; Primates; Hominidae. The record is from RNAcentral.
ACAGAGAAGGGAAAGCAGAGGGGCAGAGAGACAGAGAAGGAAACAAAGAGACUUUAUUAAAACCAAACAUCGUGGAGGCAGCUGCCUGCCCGCAGAGGUCAGAGUCAGGUGGUGUCCUGGACUCCUGGCCCAACCACACAGAAAUGCGAGUCCCACCUCACAGCUCCGGGGCUGUGGCUCCCCAGCGCUCUCCAGGGUCAGGCGCGUUGGGUCACGCCUGUAAUCCCAGCACUUUGGGAGGCCAAGGAGGGUGGAUCACCUAUCAGGAGUUCGAGACCAGCCUGGCCAACAGAGUGAAACCCCAUCUCUAUCAAAAAUACAAAAAAAUUAGCCAGGUGUAGUGGCUUGCACCUGUAAUCCCAGCUACCCAGGAAGCUGAGGCAGGAGAAUUGCUUGAACCCGGGAGGUGGAAGUUGCAGUGAGCCAGGAUCGCACCACUGCGCUCCAGCCUGGACAACAGAGCAAGACUCCAUCUCAAAAAAAAAAAAAAAAAAAAAAAGGAAGAAAAUAUAACAGUCCUCUAUGUCCCCUGUACCUAUAUAGAAUAGAUGUGGACAUUUUGCCA